AGCGGCGGACGGGUUAGUAACGCGUGGGAACAUACCCAAUGGUACGGAAUAGCCUCGGGAAACUGAGAGUAAUACCGUAUGUGCCCUUCGGGGGAAAGAUUUAUCGCCAUUGGAUUGGCCCGCGUUAGAUUAGAUAGUUGGUGGGGUAAUGGCCUACCAAGUCUACGAUCUAUAGCUGGUUUUAGAGGAUGAUCAGCAACACUGGGACUGAGACACGGCCCAGACUCCUACGGGAGGCAGCAGUGGGGAAUCUUAGACAAUGGGCGCAAGCCUGAUCUAGCCAUGCCGCGUGUGUGAUGAAGGCCUUAGGGUCGUAAAGCACUUUCGCCAGAGAUGAUAAUGACAGUAUCUGGUAAAGAAACCCCGGCUAACUCCGUGCCAGCAGCCGCGGUAAUACGGAGGGGGUUAGCGUUGUUCGGAAUUACUGGGCGUAAAGCGUACGUAGGCGGAUCAGAAAGUAUGGGGUGAAAUCCCAGGGCUCAACCCUGGAACUGCCUCAUAAACUCCUGGUCUUGAGUUCGAGAGAGGUGAGUGGAAUUCCAAGUGUAGAGGUGAAAUUCGUAGAUAUUUGGAGGAACACCAGUGGCGAAGGCGGCUCACUGGCUCGAUACUGACGCUGAGGUACGAAAGUGUGGGGAGCAAACAGGAUU
RNAcentral lists this ribosomal RNA (650 nucleotides) under uncultured marine bacterium. RNAcentral's name for it is "bacterial SSU rRNA". It matches the Rfam family "Bacterial small subunit ribosomal RNA", at positions 94 to 779 of the family's 1533-position model. The record is from RNAcentral.